AAGUCGUAACAAGGUUUCCGUAGGUGAACCUGCGGAAGGAUCAUUAAUGUGAUUGUGCGCGUAGCAACAUACUGGGGCUCGCGUGCAAGACUCAUUCCUUGUGCUAUGUUUAUUGUUUGCUUGUGCGUGCAACGCGCACAUGUGCAUUUUAACAUAUUCGUACCUAUCUUACAUAUCUUUGCCCUAACGAGCAACAAACCAACAAAACUGCCAGCAAUGGAUCACUUGGUUCUC
Molecule: unclassified non-coding RNA, 234 nt
Filed under: fungal sp.
Lineage: Eukaryota; Fungi
Description: partial internal transcribed spacer region
Rfam family: Eukaryotic small subunit ribosomal RNA (bases 1-46)
Source: RNAcentral